AUCUUCCACAAUGGACGAAAGUCUGAUGGAGCAACGCCGCGUGAGUGAAGAAGGAUCUCGGUUCGUAAAACUCUGUUGCAAGGGAAGAACAAGUAGCGUAGUAACUGGCGCUACCUUGACGGUACCUUGUUAGAAAGCCACGGCUAACUACGUGCCAGCAGCCGCGGUAAUACGUAGGUGGCAAGCGUUGUCCGGAAUUAUUGGGCGUAAAGCGCGCGCAGGUGGUUCUUUAAGUCUGAUGUGAAAGCCCCCGGCUCAACCGGGGAGGGUCAUUGGAAACUGGGGAACUUGAGUGCAGAAGAGGAUAGUGGAACUCCAAGUGUAGCGGUGAAAUGCGUAGAGAUUUGGAGGAACACCAGUGGCGAAGGCGACUGUCUGGUCUGUAACUGACACUGAGGCGCGAAAGCGUGGGGAGCAAACAGGAUUA
RNAcentral lists this ribosomal RNA (427 nucleotides) under uncultured prokaryote. Its description in RNAcentral is "bacterial SSU rRNA". It matches the Rfam family "Bacterial small subunit ribosomal RNA", at positions 361 to 780 of the family's 1533-position model. The record is from RNAcentral.